Molecule: ribosomal RNA, 402 nt
Filed under: bacterium
Lineage: Bacteria
Also listed under: 1 other name
Description: partial 16S ribosomal RNA
Rfam family: Bacterial small subunit ribosomal RNA
Source: RNAcentral
UGGGGAAUUUUGCACAAUGGGGGAAACCCUGAUGCAGCGACGCCGCGUGAUUUAGAAGGCCUUCGGGUUGUAAAAAUCUUUUCUAUGGGAAGAAAAUGACAGUACCAUAGGAAUAAGGACCGGCUAAUUACGUGCCAGCAGCCGCGGUAAUACGUAAGGUCCGAGCGUUGUCCGGAAUCAUUGGGCGUAAAGGGUACGUAGGCGGGUAAGCAAGUUAGAAGUGAAAUCCUAUAGCUCAACUAUAGUAAGCUUUUAAAACUGCUCAUCUUGAGGUAUGGAAGGGAAAGUGGAAUUCCUCGUGUAGCGGUGAAAUGCGCAGAUAUUAGGAGGAAUACCGGUGGCGAAGGCGACUUUCUGGCCAUAACCUGACGCUGAGGUACGAAAGCGUGGGUAGCAAACAGG